Molecule: long non-coding RNA, 2458 nt
Filed under: Triticum aestivum (bread wheat)
Lineage: Eukaryota; Viridiplantae; Streptophyta; Magnoliopsida; Poales; Poaceae
Description: long non-coding RNA (TAES_LNC007641)
Rfam family: MIR1120/MIR1122 microRNA precursor family (bases 2111-2197)
Source: RNAcentral
AUACAUUCCAUUUGAAACGGUUACAAAACGCGGGUGGCUUUGUGAGAAGGGUUGAUGUCGGUUCCCUCACAAAUAAAUGAGAUGUUACAAUAGAAACGUUCCAUCAAAUCAGUAAUGGCGCAUACCAAUCACUGAAACAUCAGAGAUGUACACAAUAGUCACAUAUGUGCCCACCAGCAUAUUGCAUCUUGCCAGAAAAGGCAUCAAUUCCAUUUCAGAAAAAGAUAUUGAUAGAGUUAUAAAAAUCUAGUUGUCCCAAAGGUUCUAGACAGGCAUGAAAGAGAAUAGAAACGAUACGCACUUAGAUACAAAUGAUAGCGCACCAUGGACAGCACAAAGCUUUAAUCUGACAUCCAUCGUCUCUCAAACCCACCACCACCGGCAGCGCCAACAAGUAUGCAAGUACUGUAGAAGACUUGUUGCAGCAGCAGCAGCAGCAACAACAGCAGUGAAGGGGCUACAGUACACGUACAAGGAGCAUCUAACGUCACCAUUCGAGAGCAGCGACCGAAGACAUUAUGAUUUCCUGAAUAUGUUGUACAACCUGCGGAAAGAGGAAAUGAAAUGAAGUGUAUAAAUAUGUCGAAAAAUGAACCACGCAAGGGCUGUUAUGUCUGUCAGGGAUUGAUCUUAUGCCUUCAGAUCUGGAGUAAUACAUUUUGGCCUUCAUAAAUGGUUCUUGGCCUUCAUAAAUGGUUCAAGAGAUGAUCAUCACGGGUUAUCUAUCAAAAAUCAACACACAAAAAAACAGUCAUGAAAUCUGCUAGCACACAACAGAGAGUCCAAGGGAUGUAUUAGGUAGGGCAGAGGCAGCGAUAACAGUACACGUGAGCAAGGCAAAUGGGAGCAGAGAAGCAGAGCAGGCAUGCAGCAUAUCCUCCACGUAGGAUUUUAGAGUAUGACCAUGCAAAAGAGUUCGAUUCAGAUGAAAUUCCGAGAAUUCUGAAUCACAACAUGGCCCUCAGAUUUCAGUUUCAUCAUAGGCUAAUGCAGUGGGCUUCAAAGCUGGCACUGGGGCAUGUCUGGGUGAACCGAAGAGGAGGCAAGGCGAUGGCGGCGACGGGGACGCCUGUAGCAAGAGCAGGCCCAUCACUCAGUGGUAGGGCUUCCGCAGAAGCAACGGCUGAUAAGACUUGGACGCUGUAUUUCCGUUAUGUUAAGUAAUGGAAAGGGGUUAUGCCCGGUUCAAAAAAAAAGAAGCAACGGCUGAUCCACAGACACAUGCCUCAGCGCCCAGAGCAGAGAAGCCAGCGCUGCAUCACCAUUUCAGGUCUUCAACCUUGCGAAUGCAACGGCUGAUCCCGUUUCGAGCUCAAACCUAAGCCAAUCUAUCUAUCUAGGGCUUUCAACCUAAUCAUCACUGGGCCAAGGGAAAAUCCAUGCAGCAAGCGAAAAUAUAGUAAUGGACCAAAGAAACUAGGAAAUUAAAUCCGAACCGGGCUUGAUCAAAACAAAUAAUCAAACCACCAGAAAACCAAAUAAUUGAAAAGGAAAAUAGCCGUAGGAGACUUCUUGUGCCACCAGCAGCAGCAGGAGGAACGAAGGGGCCACAGAAGGACCAUCACAUCAACAUUCAUUCAAAAGCAGCAAACAGAAAGAUCAUGAUCCCAUACUGUAGAGCCUGAGGAAAGAGGAAAUGAAAUGAAGAGUACAAAUGUACCGAAAAAUGAACCGCGCAAGGGUUGUGGCAUCUGUCAGGUAGUAGUUAUCUUAUGCCUUCAGAUCUAGUAAUACAUUUGGCCUUGCAAAAUGGUUCAAGAGAUGGUCAUCACGGUUAUCAAAAAUCAACAACAGUUGUCAAGAAAUCUGCUAGCUCACAAAAGAGAGUCAAAGGGAUGUAUCAGAUAGGGCAGAGGCGGCGAUAACAGAGAUGGGGAAGGGAUGUUAGUGACCUCGUGUCGUCAAUCAAUCAUCAAGGCAAACAGAAGCAGAGCAGGCAUGCACCGUCUCCUCUACCUAGGGAGGUUCCGGUGCACCAUUGCGCAUUAAACGAUAAUACAACACGAUAAAGACAAGGUGCGUAUACUGAUGGUUUGAUAGCACGCCCACAGGAAGAUCGCCCUCAGAUAUCAAAAGAGUGUCCCAAAUGGAUCGGCAGAAAACCUGAAUAGUACUCCCUCCGUCCCGUAAUAAAAGAGCGUUUUUGACACUACACUAGUGUCAAAAACGCUCUUAUAUUACGGGACGGAGGGAGUACAACCAUUGCAAUGACAACCACAACAGAAGCAACAACAAGCAGAAAGAAAGAAAGAGUGGAAGCAGAGAGAUGGCCCUUCCACAUGAACAGCAGGCCCAUCUCAGUUUUCACCUGAUUCCCACUUUCCAAGAGCAUGCUUCAGCGCCCAGAACAGAAAAAGCCAACGCUGCAUUAGCCAUUCCAAGAGCAAGGCGCAGCCGCAUUUAAGCACAACCAUGUCAGUCUUCUAUUAAUCAUCAUGGGGCCAAUGGUAAAUCCGAG